UACAGAGGGGGCAAGCGUUGUUCGGAAUUACUGGGCGUAAAGGGCGCGUAGGCGGCCUUCUAAGUCGAACGUGAAAUCCCUAGGCUCAACCUAGGAACUGCGUCCGAUACUGGGAGGCUUGAAUCCGGGAGAGGGAUGCGGAAUUCCAGGUGUAGCGGUGAAAUGCGUAGAUAUCUGGAGGAACACCGGUGGCGAAGGCGGCAUCCUGGACCGGUAUUGACGCUGAGGCGCGAAAGCCAGGGGAGCAAACGGG
RNAcentral lists this ribosomal RNA (253 nucleotides) under uncultured bacterium. Its description in RNAcentral is "partial 16S ribosomal RNA". It matches the Rfam family "Bacterial small subunit ribosomal RNA", at positions 524 to 776 of the family's 1533-position model. The record is from RNAcentral.